GCUAGGAAGAGGAAGAAAGAGAGGGCCUAAGAGCAAUGGGGAUGAGAGCAUAGAGGAAAGCCUAAGUUAUCGGUUCUUCACCUCUUGUGUUGAGGUUUAAAUACCGUUUGGUAUUUCCCGAUGCCUCUCAUUCCUAUCGUUCUUAAGCACUCCUUCCUCUUCCUUUUUGUU
Non-coding RNA from Triticum urartu, 171 nucleotides. The record is from Rfam. NCBI's taxonomy places the organism in Eukaryota, Viridiplantae, Streptophyta, Magnoliopsida, Poales, Poaceae.